AAGGGAGAGCAGAACACAGCAAGCACUGCUAAUGCUUGUUACCAGGGUUAAACUCCGUGGCUCCCUCA
This 68-nucleotide transfer RNA is filed under the name Raiamas senegalensis (Senegal minnow). RNAcentral describes it as "tRNA-Ser". The record is from RNAcentral. Lineage: Eukaryota; Metazoa; Chordata; Actinopteri; Cypriniformes; Danionidae.